GCCCUCGGAGAUGACUUCCUCUGGCUGGGCGCGCAUGUACCACUCCACCCAGGAGCCGUCGUAGAUGGCCACGUCGGGCUUGCCACAGAGAUGAGGAGACUGAGGCACACAGACUAAUCUGCCCAAGUCAGAGACGUGCCACAGCUGCCAACCACCAGGCCGCGAGGGCAGGGAAGCUGAGGCGCUGAGGGGGCCCAGGGAACUGCGGCUUGACCUUCAGGAUAAGAAGGCUGACGGAGCGGCUUUGGCUAAGGGGUGAUCUCAGUGUCCG
This is a long non-coding RNA of Hyaena hyaena (striped hyena), 271 nucleotides long. RefSeq lists it as uncharacterized. The transcript is spliced from 3 exons. Lineage: Eukaryota; Metazoa; Chordata; Mammalia; Carnivora; Hyaenidae. The record is from RefSeq and is a predicted model, not a curated record.